GGACCAACUACAGUUACCUCUCUUAUCUACAUGGGGUUCUGAAGUUACUGCUAGGUGGAAUGCUGAUAAUGGAAGUUAACCAUGGAUGACAUUAUUACAUAAGAUUUUGGUUUAAGUUGUUUCUUUCAAUAUGCUGUACUUAGGCUGAAAGACCAACCAUUUUCUUUGGCUGAAAGCUUUACCCGCUUUCUUUUAAACAAAGUUUUGUCAAGCAAGAUGAAACAAGGCCUGAUCUUGAAAGUACUAAUGACUUUGUUACAUGAAAUUUAUUUUAUAUUUUCUCCGUUUGGAAGGAAAUGUCGAUUCAUUUUUCUUGCUACGACACUAUCUAAAUAGCGAGUUCAUUCCUUGAAGCAUUUGUUUUCCUUUAGCAUGAUUCCAUAUAUAGGUAGUGCCUUGUAUGUUGCUUCCAUUCUUUGUUUCUUUGACUUUUGUAUUACGAUUUAUUCUAUUUCAUUUUUGAGAACAUGGAAAUCCAUAUUCCUUCUGGCUUGCAUGCC
Molecule: unclassified non-coding RNA, 500 nt
Filed under: Hevea brasiliensis (rubber tree)
Lineage: Eukaryota; Viridiplantae; Streptophyta; Magnoliopsida; Malpighiales; Euphorbiaceae
Source: RNAcentral